GCUUCAAACCACCCUCAGUGGUGUAAAUAAUUAUCUUUUCUAUUAACAAGGGGUUAUCUGGUUUGGAACAUCUCAGGAAACUGAGUGAUAAUCAGGAAACACAUAAAGUUAGGCAGUACCUAGAAACUUGGGAGCCAGCUUGAAAUUCCUAUGGAUAGCAGAUAUACUGAUGGGAUAUCUCAUGGU
Molecule: long non-coding RNA, 186 nt
Organism: Gavialis gangeticus (Gharial)
Lineage: Eukaryota; Metazoa; Chordata; Crocodylia; Gavialidae
Exons: 3
Source: RefSeq, a predicted model, not a curated record